UACGGAGGAUCCAAGCGUUAUCCGGAUUCAUUGGGCUUAAAGGGUGCGUAGGCGGAAUGAUAAGUCAGCGGUGAAAUCCCUCGGCUUAACUGAGGAACUGCCGUUGAUACUGUCAAUCUUGAGUACAUUUGAUGUGGGCGGAAUGUGUCAUGUAGCGGUGAAAUGCUUAGAUAUGACACAGAACACCGAUUGCGAAGGCAGCUCACAAAACUGUAACUGACGCUGAGGCACGAAAGCGUGGGUAUCAAACAGG
This 253-nucleotide ribosomal RNA is filed under the name uncultured bacterium. RNAcentral's name for it is "partial 16S ribosomal RNA". It matches the Rfam family "Bacterial small subunit ribosomal RNA", at positions 524 to 776 of the family's 1533-position model. The record is from RNAcentral.